GGCCCUAUGGUCAAGUGGUUAAGACACCGCCCUUUCACGGCGGUAACCCGGGUUCGAGUCCCGGUAGGGUCA
Molecule: transfer RNA, 72 nt
Filed under: Keratinibaculum paraultunense
Lineage: Bacteria; Bacillati; Bacillota; Tissierellia; Tissierellales; Tepidimicrobiaceae
Rfam family: tRNA
About the family: Transfer RNA (tRNA) molecules are approximately 80 nucleotides in length. Their secondary structure includes four short double-helical elements and three loops (D, anti-codon, and T loops).
Source: Rfam by way of RNAcentral